Humulus lupulus (European hop) is the source of this 1584-nucleotide long non-coding RNA. RefSeq lists it as uncharacterized. The record is from RefSeq and is a predicted model, not a curated record. NCBI's taxonomy places the organism in Eukaryota, Viridiplantae, Streptophyta, Magnoliopsida, Rosales, Cannabaceae. The transcript is spliced from 3 exons.
AACUCAUCUUGAAUCACAAAAUCCUCAUUUUCUUUCUCUUACUCUACCCAAAAAUCUUCUUAACAUCCUUCUAAAGUUCUAAACCUUGAAGAUCUAGGCGAAGUUCUGUCCGAAACGAUAACCUACGAAAACUUUUUAGGAAGCUAACAAUUUUGGUUGUUUUAUCAAGACGCAAGGUAAGAGGCCCCAAAUAUAAAUUGUUGAUAAGUAUACGUGGAGCCAACAUGACUGUACAUAUGGGGCUGACCUGAAAGGAAUGGAGUUCUGCUAUGCUAUUUUAUAAAUAAACGAGAAACUUGAUUUUAUAAUUAUAUUUCAUUAAAAUUAUUUUGUGAACUUUAUAAUUUACUUAAAGCUUUAAAAGUAUUUCAUGAACGCUGUAAUUUACAUAAAGCUUUUCAAUUUAUCGGUUGGAUACAUCUUCAUUUCUACGUUAAGGUGUAGUAACGCCACGAAAAUUAUUUAUAAAAAUAUUAAGAUUUGUAUGUAAGAUAAAGUUUUUAUUUAGUUGUGAGUAUUGUAUGGUUUGAGGUUAUGAACAUUAGUUAUGUAUAGUUUAAUAAAGUUUAUGUAAAUUCAGAAUUUCAGUAUUGUUAUAUUUAUGUUAAACUUUGUUUUUACACUAUAUAUAUGUAUGUUAAGAAAUGAGGUCGUUACAGCUGUGUUUCGUGAGUGGUGAUGAAGGAGACCAGGCCGGUGUGGGAAGACUGGAGCUAUGUGGAGGCGCGACAUCGGCGACCAGAGCUAGUUGAUGAGAGAAGGAGAGAGGUUGAAGAAAGAUGUGAAACCCUAAUCCCAAAUUCUUUAAAUUUAGCUUUAGUUUUUUAUUAAUAAAAAUAAUUUUUCUUUUCAUUUUUAAAUAAUUUUUCAUUUUAAAUAUAUUUUUAAUUAGUUUUUCAAAUUUAAAAUCAAUUAUCAUGUUCUUAAAAAAUUUAUGACUAGACCAAUCACGAAGUGACAUGUGUUGGUCCAAUCAUCACCAAACGGAGCUAAACGGACAAGGACUAACAAAAUUACUGUUUUUCUAACUUUGGGUACUUUCCCCACUAAAAAAAAAAUUGGAUCUAUGUCGGUUAUAAACCUCAAACAUUAGGUACUUACACCACAUAUAUCCCUACUCUUUUUUUAAACAUAUGCCCCUAUGCAGGGUCGACCCCGAGUUGUGGGAGGCCCUAUACAAAAAAUAUUAUUUUAAAAAAAUUUAUAUAUAAAUUGAUAAUUUUCAAAAUUUUGAGGUUUUUAUAUAUGUAAAAAUUAGUAUUUUUCCAAAAUUUGGUGCUCAUUGUGUGGGGCCCUUGGCACAGGACUGGCCCACCUGUGCCCUGGGCCGGACCUGCCCCAUGCUUAAAAAUUGGGAAAAUACGGAUGGGCGUUAAUAGUGGUGGUGUUGAAAAAUAUGGUCGGCAUCAUGUGCGAGACUCCAAUGGCAACUCGGGCAAUAGUGAGGGAGAGAGAGCAAGAGCUUAGAGAGAGACUAAGAGUUUAGAAGAAGAGCGAGUGUUUUCAAUGUGUGGGGCAAUUUUGUUCGAAAAUAAUUUUGGAGUAAAAUUUUCUAAUUUUUAUGUAAUGGGGCAUAUUUUUUAA